RNAcentral lists this non-coding RNA (31 nucleotides) under Mus musculus (house mouse). The record is from RNAcentral. Lineage: Eukaryota; Metazoa; Chordata; Mammalia; Rodentia; Muridae.
CNGCCUCCAACCAAGCAGCACUUCCUGUGUC